AAAAUUAAGGAAUCUCUGGAUUCUAGGUUGUUCCCUUCUUAAGAAUAAUUGCGCCGAAGGAAGUGGGUCUGAGUGGUCCAAGAUUUCUCAUCUCCCGUACAUACAAAUAUAAGAGACUGGGUUGAGGAGAGUUUAGUAAUUGGAGGAAAAGUUGGAUUCAUUGUUGCUACCCUUAACCUCUGCUGAAAACAUCACAUUAAGGGAAACAGAACUCUACCCUUAAGCUCUUGAGCUUGUAAAAAGGGCGUUCUCUUCGUUCUUUAAAAAUAGCAGUGCGUCAAAAUUUGAGUUAUUUUCCAGAGAAGAUAUUCGGUAGGCUCACCUGAUUGAGGAAUUAAGAAUUGGUGAUUUCUCAGAGAAAUUGGAUUCUUUACCUUUUUUUCUCCUCUUUGGGAGUGGACACUGAACAAGCUUUAUUUGUGAAUUCUCAGCUUCAAGCUUGUUUAUUUUGAGCUGAAAGAAGAGAUGAAUUUUGGCAUUAUUCAGUCUAUGUUUCUAUCAGCUUAAGAUUUCUCAGAUCCCAAAUAUCGCAAUAGAAAAUGAGGAGAUGCAUUUAUAAUUAAUUAUUUUUGGAGGAAUAUGCAAAAUAUCAGUUCAGGUGAGAAAUGUUAUGAUUCAUUUGUCUACACCUUUUGGUUUCAGUAAUUUUUUUUAUGAGUCUCCAGCACUUGUUAAUGAUUUCAUGGGAUGCCUUUUCAGUUAUUUCCUUUAUGUAAUGAUUUCAACAAACUUCCACUUUCGAAAUUUUUCACAUGAACAGGGGCAUGGCUGUGAUAUGAGAAAAUGCAUGUAGCUUUCCUUGGCAUGUUUCCUUUAAAGUAUAGGUAUUUUUCCAAAACUAGUACUUCCCAAAAUUCAAGUGCUUUAUAUCCUUUUUGUCCAUGUUUCAUGGGCUUAUACUUUAGCAAAAGAAAUGCAGAAAGUCCAUCAGAAGAUGUGAUCUUCAUGCCCCCCAUUUAUUUACUUUAGUUUACUCAAAAUUAGGAGAUUUUCCAGAUUCAAGAUCCUCUACAUUGUAUUGGAUAGCAAAGGGAAGAAGAUCAUGCUAAAUUAUGUGCACAUGCUGACUUGCGUGCAGAAGUUGCAGAGCUAUUUGCAAAUCUUGAGGCUUGUAAAUUUUGUGUUGAAGAUUCCUAGAUAUGUUCAAGUUUGGAAGGGUUCGAUCAUUUGCGAGUUUCUUCGUGGAAUUCAUGCACACGAAGAUACUGCAGACUUGUAUAAUUUGAUACUAUCCAAAUUCUUUACACUCAAUUAAACCAUCUCAAUUAUAAAUCACUUCAUGUUUAUUGUUGCU
RNAcentral lists this unclassified non-coding RNA (1294 nucleotides) under Hevea brasiliensis (rubber tree). The record is from RNAcentral. Lineage: Eukaryota; Viridiplantae; Streptophyta; Magnoliopsida; Malpighiales; Euphorbiaceae.